This 257-nucleotide ribosomal RNA is filed under the name uncultured Gardnerella sp. RNAcentral's name for it is "partial 16S ribosomal RNA". It matches the Rfam family "Bacterial small subunit ribosomal RNA", at positions 98 to 355 of the family's 1533-position model. Lineage: Bacteria; Bacillati; Actinomycetota; Actinomycetes; Bifidobacteriales; Bifidobacteriaceae. The record is from RNAcentral.
CGGAACGGGUGAGUAAUGCGUGACCAACCUGCCCCAUGCUCCAGAAUAGCUCUUGGAAACGGGUGGUAAUGCUGGAUGCUCCAACUUGACGCAUGUCUUGUUGGGAAAGUGUUUAGUGGCAUGGGAUGGGGUCGCGUCCUAUCAGCUUGUAGGCGGGGUAAUGGCCCACCUAGGCUUCGACGGGUAGCCGGCCUGAGAGGGCGGACGGCCACAUUGGGACUGAGAUACGGCCCAGACUCCUACGGGAGGCAGCAGUU